GGGACCGCGCGCCGGGAGCUGCGGGGGCACCCUCCGGGCAGAUCGGUAAUAGAGCCCUCCGUCUGGGGGAGCGCACCCCUGCGGCCGUGGAAAAGCGGGGGCCAUACAUGGUGACGCGCGCACCCUCCAUUCAAGCCAAGCUGCAGAAGCACCGGGACCUGGCCAAGGCCGUUCUGCGGAGAAAAGGCAUGCUGGGGGCCUCGCCGAACCGCCCAGACUCUUCAGGGAAAAGGUCAGUGAAGUUUAACAAGGGCUAUACUGCUCUUAGCCAGAGUCCAGAUGAAAACCUGGUGUCCCUCGACUCUGACAGGUGAGUGCUCCCCUUGGAAAUAUCCCCUUGGGAAGCAACUUGGCUGGAACUGAAGAUCGCCUGAUGCCUUUGCUUGUUCCCUGUCUCCUCCAAGGCCCUUCAUGUAUAUUCCAGGGCUGUUCUCUUCUGAACAAUAUCCCUUCCCAGGAUGGCUUGGUUAGAAGACUCAUAGGUAAUCAUGCUGCUCUAGAAUUCGGAGCACCGAUGUCCGGGGGAUCAUCCUGCCCUUUUAUGUUUGCGCUGUUAGUGAGAGUGACCCUGUCCCUGCCAGAACCAAUUGAGGGAACCAGUAUUACUCAAGGCCUAUUCAGACUUGAGUUCUGUUGUGUGUGGCUUUUGCUUCACAAGUCUUCCAGAUGCCCUUGCAUGCUCUCCGCCUGAUGAUUUACAGCCGUGCGCCACAGGUACCUCCCGGAACUGACUGUUUUCCUCUUCUCCUAGUGAUGGGGAGCUGGAAUCCAGAUACUCCUCCGGGUAUUCAUCUGCAGAGCAGGUGAACCAGGAUGUCAGCCGGCAGCUGCUUCAGGAUGGGUAUCACCUGGAUGAGAUUCCAGAUGACGAGGACUUGGACCUCAUCCCCCCUAAGCCCAUGGCCUCUUCAACGUGCUCCUGCUGCUGGUGCUGUCUUGGGGACUCUUCCUCCUGUACCCUCCAGUAGACAUUACUCUCCAAGAUGGGCCCUGCUCACCAUGAGGCCUACAGAGCCCUGUUGGUCACUCAUAGCUCACACAGUGCAGUGAGCACUGA
This 1057-nucleotide small RNA is filed under the name Pongo abelii (Sumatran orangutan). RNAcentral's name for it is "retained intron". The record is from RNAcentral. Lineage: Eukaryota; Metazoa; Chordata; Mammalia; Primates; Hominidae.